RNAcentral lists this long non-coding RNA (202 nucleotides) under Hordeum vulgare. Its description in RNAcentral is "long non-coding RNA (HVUL_LNC018383)". Lineage: Eukaryota; Viridiplantae; Streptophyta; Magnoliopsida; Poales; Poaceae. The record is from RNAcentral.
UGGGAUAUGAGCUUUGCUAGAACUACGGAUGUUAUACAUAAUUUCUACUGAUGAGGCUGAGAUGGAUUGUUUUAAUUAGUGAUUAAAGGAUGAGGCCGGCCUCGUCCUGAAAAUCAGGGAGAGAUUAGUGAGGGGACAAGAGUUUGUCUGUAACUUCCUGUAAAAACAACCCGUAAGUCUAGCAUUUUUGUGGGAUAUUAUG